This 2924-nucleotide ribosomal RNA is filed under the name Staphylococcus aureus. Its description in RNAcentral is "23S ribosomal RNA". It matches the Rfam family "Bacterial large subunit ribosomal RNA". The record is from RNAcentral. Lineage: Bacteria; Bacillati; Bacillota; Bacilli; Caryophanales; Staphylococcaceae.
GAUUAAGUUAUUAAGGGCGCACGGUGGAUGCCUUGGCACUAGAAGCCGAUGAAGGACGUUACUAACGACGAUAUGCUUUGGGGAGCUGUAAGUAAGCUUUGAUCCAGAGAUUUCCGAAUGGGGAAACCCAGCAUGAGUUAUGUCAUGUUAUCGAUAUGUGAAUACAUAGCAUAUCAGAAGGCACACCCGGAGAACUGAAACAUCUUAGUACCCGGAGGAAGAGAAAGAAAAUUCGAUUCCCUUAGUAGCGGCGAGCGAAACGGGAAGAGCCCAAACCAAAAAGCUUGCUUGUUGGGGUUGUAGGACACUCUAUACGGAGUUACAAAGGACGACAUUAGACGAAUCAUCUGGAAAGAUGAAUCAAAGAAGGUAAUAAUCCUGUAGUCGAAAAUGUUGUCUCUCUUGAGUGGAUCCUGAGUACGACGGAGCACGUGAAAUUCCGUCGGAAUCUGGGAGGACCAUCUCCUAAGGCUAAAUACUCUCUAGUGACCGAUAGUGAACCAGUACCGUGAGGGAAAGGUGAAAAGCACCCCGGAAGGGGAGUGAAAUAGAACCUGAAACCGUGUGCUUACAAGUAGUCAGAGCCCGUUAAUGGGUGAUGGCGUGCCUUUUGUAGAAUGAACCGGCGAGUUACGAUUUGAUGCAAGGUUAAGCAGUAAAUGUGGAGCCGUAGCGAAAGCGAGUCUGAAUAGGGCGUUUAGUAUUUGGUCGUAGACCCGAAACCAGGUGAUCUACCCUUGGUCAGGUUGAAGUUCAGGUAACACUGAAUGGAGGACCGAACCGACUUACGUUGAAAAGUGAGCGGAUGAACUGAGGGUAGCGGAGAAAUUCCAAUCGAACCUGGAGAUAGCUGGUUCUCUCCGAAAUAGCUUUAGGGCUAGCCUCAAGUGAUGAUUAUUGGAGGUAGAGCACUGUUUGGACGAGGGGCCCCUCUCGGGUUACCGAAUUCAGACAAACUCCGAAUGCCAAUUAAUUUAACUUGGGAGUCAGAACAUGGGUGAUAAGGUCCGUGUUCGAAAGGGAAACAGCCCAGACCACCAGCUAAGGUCCCAAAAUAUAUGUUAAGUGGAAAAGGAUGUGGCGUUGCCCAGACAACUAGGAUGUUGGCUUAGAAGCAGCCAUCAUUUAAAGAGUGCGUAAUAGCUCACUAGUCGAGUGACACUGCGCCGAAAAUGUACCGGGGCUAAACAUAUUACCGAAGCUGUGGAUUGUCCUUUGGACAAUGGUAGGAGAGCGUUCUAAGGGCGUUGAAGCAUGAUCGUAAGGACAUGUGGAGCGCUUAGAAGUGAGAAUGCCGGUGUGAGUAGCGAAAGACGGGUGAGAAUCCCGUCCACCGAUUGACUAAGGUUUCCAGAGGAAGGCUCGUCCGCUCUGGGUUAGUCGGGUCCUAAGCUGAGGCCGACAGGCGUAGGCGAUGGAUAACAGGUUGAUAUUCCUGUACCACCUAUAAUCGUUUUAAUCGAUGGGGGGACGCAGUAGGAUAGGCGAAGCGUGCGAUUGGAUUGCACGUCUAAGCAGUAAGGCUGAGUAUUAGGCAAAUCCGGUACUCGUUAAGGCUGAGCUGUGAUGGGGAGAAGACAUUGUGUCUUCGAGUCGUUGAUUUCACACUGCCGAGAAAAGCCUCUAGAUAGAAAAUAGGUGCCCGUACCGCAAACCGACACAGGUAGUCAAGAUGAGAAUUCUAAGGUGAGCGAGCGAACUCUCGUUAAGGAACUCGGCAAAAUGACCCCGUAACUUCGGGAGAAGGGGUGCUCUUUAGGGUUAACGCCCAGAAGAGCCGCAGUGAAUAGGCCCAAGCGACUGUUUAUCAAAAACACAGGUCUCUGCUAAACCGUAAGGUGAUGUAUAGGGGCUGACGCCUGCCCGGUGCUGGAAGGUUAAGAGGAGUGGUUAGCUUCUGCGAAGCUACGAAUCGAAGCCCCAGUAAACGGCGGCCGUAACUAUAACGGUCCUAAGGUAGCGAAAUUCCUUGUCGGGUAAGUUCCGACCCGCACGAAAGGCGUAACGAUUUGGGCACUGUCUCAACGAGAGACUCGGUGAAAUCAUAGUACCUGUGAAGAUGCAGGUUACCCGCGACAGGACGGAAAGACCCCGUGGAGCUUUACUGUAGCCUGAUAUUGAAAUUCGGCACAGCUUGUACAGGAUAGGUAGGAGCCUUUGAAACGUGAGCGCUAGCUUACGUGGAGGCGCUGGUGGGAUACUACCCUAGCUGUGUUGGCUUUCUAACCCGCACCACUUAUCGUGGUGGGAGACAGUGUCAAGCGGGCAGUUUGACUGGGGCGGUCGCCUCCUAAAAGGUAACGGAGGCGCUCAAAGGUUCCCUCAGAAUGGUUGGAAAUCAUUCAUAGAGUGUAAAGGCAUAAGGGAGCUUGACUGCGAGACCUACAAGUCGAGCAGGGUCGAAAGACGGACUUAGUGAUCCGGUGGUUCCGCAUGGAAGGGCCAUCGCUCAACGGAUAAAAGCUACCCCGGGGAUAACAGGCUUAUCUCCCCCAAGAGUUCACAUCGACGGGGAGGUUUGGCACCUCGAUGUCGGCUCAUCGCAUCCUGGGGCUGUAGUCGGUCCCAAGGGUUGGGCUGUUCGCCCAUUAAAGCGGUACGCGAGCUGGGUUCAGAACGUCGUGAGACAGUUCGGUCCCUAUCCGUCGUGGGCGUAGGAAAUUUGAGAGGAGCUGUCCUUAGUACGAGAGGACCGGGAUGGACAUACCUCUGGUGUACCAGUUGUCGUGCCAACGGCAUAGCUGGGUAGCUAUGUGUGGACGGGAUAAGUGCUGAAAGCAUCUAAGCAUGAAGCCCCCCCUCAAGAUGAGAUUUCCCAACUUCGGUUAUAAGAUCCCUCAAAGAUGAUGAGGUUAAUAGGUUCGAGGUGGAAGCAUGGUGACAUGUGGAGCUGACGAAUACUAAUCGAUCGAAGACUUAAUCAA